Molecule: ribosomal RNA, 460 nt
Filed under: uncultured bacterium
Lineage: Bacteria
Description: partial 16S ribosomal RNA
Rfam family: Bacterial small subunit ribosomal RNA
Source: RNAcentral
CCUACGGGAGGCAGCAGUGAGGAAUAUUGGUCAAUGGGCGAGAGCCUGAACCAGCCAAGUCGCGUGAAGGAUGAAGGACCUAUGGGUUGUAAACUUCUUUUAUAAGGGAAUAAAGCGAGGAACGUGUGCCUGUUUGUAUGUACCUUAUGAAUAAGCAUCGGCUAACUCCGUGCCAGCAGCCGCGGUAAUACGGAGGAUGCGAGCGUUAUCCGGAUUUAUUGGGUUUAAAGGGUGCGUAGGUGGUUUAUUAAGUCAGUGGUGAAAGUUUGUGGAUCAACCAUAAAAUUGCAGUUGAAACUGGUUGUCUUGAGUAUAUUUGAGGUAGGCGGAAGGCGUGGUGUAGCGGUGAAAUGCAUAGAUAUCACGCAGAACUCCGAUUGCGAAGGCAGCUUACUAAACUCUAACUGACACUGAAGCACGAAAGCGUGGGGAUCAAACAGGAUUAGAUACCCGAGUAGUC